CCUACGGGUGGCAGCAGUGAGGAAUAUUGGUCAAUGGGCGGGAGCCUGAACCAGCCAAGUCGCGUGAGGGAAGACGGUCCUAUGGAUUGUAAACCUCUUUAGGCGGGGAGCAAUGCCGGGCACGCGUGCCCGGAGGGAGAGUACCCGCAGAAUAAGCAUCGGCUAACUCCGUGCCAGCAGCCGCGGUAAUACGGAGGAUGCGAGCGUUAUCCGGAUUUACUGGGUGUAAAGGGGGCGCAGACGGCGAUGCAAGCCAGGAGUGAAAGCCCGGGGCCCAACCCCGGGACUGCUCUUGGAAUGGCGGGGCUGGAGGGCAGGAGGGGAAGGCGGAAUUCCUGGGGUAGAGGUGAAAUGCGUAGAUACCGGGAGGAACACCGGUGGCGAAGGCGGCCUGCUGGACUGCAACUGACGUUGAGGCCCGAAAGCGGGGGGAGCAAACAGGAUUAGAUACCCGGGUAGUC
Molecule: ribosomal RNA, 461 nt
Filed under: uncultured bacterium
Lineage: Bacteria
Description: partial 16S ribosomal RNA
Rfam family: Bacterial small subunit ribosomal RNA
Source: RNAcentral